UACGAAGGGUGCGAGCGUUGUUCGGAAUUACUGGGCGUAAAGGGUUCGUAGGCGGGAAGAUAAGUUACGUGUGAAAUCCCUGGGCUUAACCCAGGACGUGCACGUAAAACUAUCUUUCUUGAGUGUUGGAGAGGGUAGUGGAAUUGCUGGUGUAGGAGUGACAUCCGUAGAGAUCAGCAGGAACAUCAGAGGCGAAAGCGACUGCCUGGCCAAACACUGACGCUGAGGAACGAAAGCGUGGGGAGCAAAC
RNAcentral lists this ribosomal RNA (250 nucleotides) under uncultured bacterium. Its description in RNAcentral is "partial 16S ribosomal RNA". It matches the Rfam family "Bacterial small subunit ribosomal RNA", at positions 524 to 773 of the family's 1533-position model. The record is from RNAcentral.